RNAcentral lists this ribosomal RNA (253 nucleotides) under uncultured bacterium. RNAcentral describes it as "partial 16S ribosomal RNA". It matches the Rfam family "Archaeal small subunit ribosomal RNA", at positions 474 to 727 of the family's 1478-position model. The record is from RNAcentral.
UACCAGCACCCCGAGUGGUCGGGACGUUUAUUGGGCCUAAAGCAUCCGUAGCCGGUUCUGCAAGUCUUCCGUUAAAUCCAACUGCUUAACAGGUGGGCUGCGGAAGAUACUAUAGAGCUAGGAGGCGGGAGAGGCAAGCGGUACUCGAUGGGUACGGGUAAAAUCCGUUGAUCCAUUGAAGACCACCAGUGGCGAAGGCGGCUUGCCAGAACGCGCUCGACGGUGAGGGAUGAAAGCUGGGGGAGCAAACCGG